UUAAGUUAUUAAGGGCGCACGGUGGAUGCCUUGGCACUAGAAGCCGAUGAAGGACGUUACUAACGACGAUAUGCUUUGGGGAGCUGUAAGUAAGCUUUGAUCCAGAGAUUUCCGAAUGGGGAAACCCAGCAUGAGUUAUGUCAUGUUAUCGAUAUGUGAAUACAUAGCAUAUCAGAAGGCACACCCGGAGAACUGAAACAUCUUAGUACCCGGAGGAAGAGAAAGAAAAUUCGAUUCCCUUAGUAGCGGCGAGCGAAACGGGAAGAGCCCAAACCAACAAGCUUGCUUGUUGGGGUUGUAGGACACUCUGUACGGAGUUACAAAGGACGACAUUAGACGAAUCAUCUGGAAAGAUGAAUCAAAGAAGGUAAUAAUCCUGUAGUCGAAAAUGUUGUCUCUCUUGAGUGGAUCCUGAGUACGACGGAGCACGUGAAAUUCCGUCGGAAUCUGGGAGGACCAUCUCCUAAGGCUAAAUACUCUCUAGUGACCGAUAGUGAACCAGUACCGUGAGGGAAAGGUGAAAAGCACCCCGGAAGGNGAGUGAAAUAGAACCUGAAACCGUGUGCUUACAAGUAGUCAGAGCCCGUUAAUGGGUGAUGGCGUGCCUUUUGUAGAAUGAACCGGCGAGUUACGAUUUGAUGCAAGGUUAAGCAGUAAAUGUGGAGCCGUAGCGAAAGCGAGUCUGAAUAGGGCGUUUAGUAUUUGGUCGUAGACCCGAAACCAGGUGAUCUACCCUUGGUCAGGUUGAAGUUCAGGUAACACUGAAUGGAGGACCGAACCGACUUACGUUGAAAAGUGAGCGGAUGAACUGAGGGUAGCGGAGAAAUUCCAAUCGAACCUGGAGAUAGCUGGUUCUCUCCGAAAUAGCUUUAGGGCUAGCCUCAAGUGAUGAUUAUUGGAGGUAGAGCACUGUUUGGACGAGGGGCCCCUCUCGGGUUACCGAAUUCAGACAAACUCCGAAUGCCAAUUAAUUUAACUUGGGAGUCAGAACAUGGGUGAUAAGGUCCGUGUUCGAAAGGGAAACAGCCCAGACCACCAGCUAAGGUCCCAAAAUAUAUGUUAAGUGGAAAAGGAUGUGGCGUUGCCCAGACAACUAGGAUGUUGGCUUAGAAGCAGCCAUCAUUUAAAGAGUGCGUAAUAGCUCACUAGUCGAGUGACACUGCGCCGAAAAUGUACCGGGGCUAAACAUAUUACCGAAGCUGUGGAUUGUCCUUUGGACAAUGGUAGGAGAGCGUUCUAAGGGCGUUGAAGCAUGAUCGUAAGGACAUGUGGAGCGCUUAGAAGUGAGAAUGCCGGUGUGAGUAGCGAAAGACGGGUGAGAAUCCCGUCCACCGAUUGACUAAGGUUUCCAGAGGAAGGCUCGUCCGCUCUGGGUUAGUCGGGUCCUAAGCUGAGGCCGACAGGCGUAGGCGAUGGAUAACAGGUUGAUAUUCCUGUACCACCUAUAAUCGUUUUAAUCGAUGGGGGGACGCAGUAGGAUAGGCGAAGCGUGCGAUUGGAUUGCACGUCUAAGCAGUAAGGCUGAGUAUUAGGCAAAUCCGGUACUCGUUAAGGCUGAGCUGUGAUGGGGAGAAGACAUUGNGUCUUCGAGUCGUUGAUUUCACACUGCCGAGAAAAGCCUCUAGAUAGAAAAUAGGUGCCCGUACCGCAAACCGACACAGGUAGUCAAGAUGAGAAUUCUAAGGUGAGCGAGCGAACUCUCGUUAAGGAACUCGGCAAAAUGACCCCGUAACUUCGGGAGAAGGGGUGCUCUUUAGGGUUAACGCCCAGAAGAGCCGCAGUGAAUAGGCCCAAGCGACUGUUUAUCAAAAACACAGGUCUCUGCUAAACCGUAAGGUGAUGUAUAGGGGCUGACGCCUGCCCGGUGCUGGAAGGUUAAGAGGAGUGGUUAGCUUCUGCGAAGCUACGAAUCGAAGCCCCAGUAAACGGCGGCCGUAACUAUAACGGUCCUAAGGUAGCGAAAUUCCUUGUCGGGUAAGUUCCGACCCGCACGAAAGGCGUAACGAUUUGGGCACUGUCUCAACGAGAGACUCGGUGAAAUCAUAGUACCUGUGAAGAUGCAGGUUACCCGCGACAGGACGGAAAGACCCCGUGGAGCUUUACUGUAGCCUGAUAUUGAAAUUCGGCACAGCUUGUACAGGAUAGGUAGGAGCCUUUGAAACGUGAGCGCUAGCUUACGUGGAGGCGCUGGUGGGAUACUACCCUAGCUGUGUUGGCUUUCUAACCCGCACCACUUAUCGUGGUGGGAGACAGUGUCANGCGGGCAGUUUGACUGGGGCGGUCGCCUCCUAAAAGGUAACGGAGGCGCUCAAAGGUUCCCUCAGAAUGGUUGGAAAUCAUUCAUAGAGUGUAAAGGCAUAAGGGAGCUUGACUGCGAGACCUACAAGUCGAGCAGGGUCGAAAGACGGACUUAGUGAUCCGGUGGUUCCGCAUGGAAGGGCCAUCGCUCAACGGAUAAAAGCUACCCCGGGGAUAACAGGCUUAUCUCCCCCAAGAGUUCACAUCGACGGGGAGGUUUGGCACCUCGAUGUCGGCUCAUCGCAUCCUGGGGCUGUAGUCGGUCCCAAGGGUUGGGCUGUUCGCCCAUUAAAGCGGUACGCGAGCUGGGUUCAGAACGUCGUGAGACAGUUCGGUCCCUAUCCGUCGUGGGCGUAGGAAAUUUGAGAGGAGCUGUCCUUAGUACGAGAGGACCGGGAUGGACAUACCUCUGGUGUACCAGUUGUCGUGCCAACGGCAUAGCUGGGUAGCUAUGUGUGGACGGGAUAAGUGCUGAAAGCAUCUAAGCAUGAAGCCCCCCUCAAGAUGAGAUUUCCCAACUUCGGUUAUAAGAUCCCUCAAAGAUGAUGAGGUUAAUAGGUUCGAGGUGGAAGCAUGGUGACAUGUGGAGCUGACGAAUACUAAUCGAUCGAAGACUUAAUCAA
This 2921-nucleotide ribosomal RNA is filed under the name Staphylococcus aureus. RNAcentral describes it as "23S ribosomal RNA". It matches the Rfam family "Bacterial large subunit ribosomal RNA". Lineage: Bacteria; Bacillati; Bacillota; Bacilli; Caryophanales; Staphylococcaceae. The record is from RNAcentral.